UGAGAACUAAAUGAGACAUGUGAGAAAAGCUCUCAGGACACUGCCUGCUGCACGGCAGGUGCUAUGUGUGGUGCUGUUAUCAGUCUCACGCUACCACACAGCCGCAGAGGCAACGUUGAGGGAGAAGCCCAUGAUCCAGACCUAGCAGUUUGCCCGGGACGUUUAAAACACUUGCAAGAGGAGACCAUUCCUGAAGUUGGCUGCAAACCCCCUGCUUCAUCUGUUACCAGGUUUAACCCCUCAAUAGCCGAAUCGCUGGAUGAAGUGUCAUCACUUACAACUGUAACAGAGUGGUCAAAGAGAGUGAUGUUUUCUUUAGUCUGAGCUGGGAUUGGAGGGAGAAAAGAGCUUUAAGAAAAACGAUUCCAGAGAUCAGCUAAAGGAAUUGGUGUCUUUGAGAAUCCUAUGCCUUGCUUCCAGGUAAAAUAAGCUUUCUCCACGCUGAGGUCAGAGGGACACCACCCCUGCAGCCACAUCUCCAAAGCAUUUCUUUCCUCAAGGGCCUAAGGAAUAGAAGAGAUCUGAUUCCUAACUGAAAUGGGGUAGCAGCAGAGAGGUUGCUAGAAUCUCUAGGCACAGGGUAACCAUCCAUCCAAGAUUGCUUGGUUUAUGCCUGUUGUCCCUUUUCUCUCCCCAAAGUGUCCUAGUUUGGAAAAUAAAUUAUACGAUCCCUCUGCCUGUACCCAAUCAAAACAUCAGGCAAUUUUAAAAAGCACAAGUUUUGGAGUCACCUUCCCCCAUUUAUCUCCUUCCUCCCUCCCUCCAUCCCCCUACUCCGCCCUGCCCUGUAAAUACCCCCACCUCUGCGUCACUUUAACCACCGGAGGCCGAUGGACACGCUAUGACCACAGCUACUCCUGUCACUGGGAAUGGUUUACACGACUGCACUGGUGUAACAGGGCCAUGCUCUCCCUGCUAUCUUUUCAAUUGUGAAAAUAAUCAAUCAAGAAUGAGGGGCAGCUCCCUAAUCUGAGUUGCUAAUUUUAAGAAUUGUAAAUAGAUUAGACAACGCUUCUCCCCUCCUCCCUCACCAAUUUACAUGC
This 1043-nucleotide long non-coding RNA is filed under the name Equus caballus (horse). RNAcentral's name for it is "lncRNA (ENSECAG00000048626.1)". The record is from RNAcentral. Lineage: Eukaryota; Metazoa; Chordata; Mammalia; Perissodactyla; Equidae.